GAUAUAAAUGGUAAUUUUCCUUUUACCCCGCCGUGAAAAAGAUGAUGGCCGAAACUCACUCCCCAGCCGGAAACCUACCACGUUCUUCCCCUCCCUCCUCGCCGCUUUUCCUCCAAGGGACGAGCAAACCCUAACCAAGCUUGCCUCCGAAUUCAUCUUCUUCCCUACUAAUCCUCCCUCGCCGCCGUUUCCCGUCUCCGACGCUUUCGCGCCAUAAUCUACCGGAUGCCCGUCCGCUCUAGAAUGGUCCGAAAAUUUUCAGUCCUUCUUUUGAAUCUGGCGUCAAUGUUCUGUGGCCACAGCGACCGCAUGCUGAGCUGACUGAUCCCAUCCAGAUGCUGCUGAAUUUUUGCUGCCCAGUCUUAUGAGUUUCAACCCUCCCGUUCGAGGAGCUGAGAGCCCCUAGUGAUGAAUGUCAGUCUCUAAACACCAACAUAUUUCCUAUUUUGUGCAAGGAUGCCCUAGGGCAAAAUACGAUGCAUCAGCAGGAUGGGAGUAAUAUAUUUUGUGUAUGAGCCUGAGAUGCCCGAUCCACAUUUGAAAUCUCAAUUUUUUUGGCCGUAACCCUCAUGUUUCUUCCUCGAGUUCCACACCAUGUUUCAAUUGAUCGAUUAUAAAUAUUUCAACUUUUUCAACAAAAACAAAUCUUUUUUUAUA
Long non-coding RNA from Phalaenopsis equestris, 657 nucleotides. RefSeq lists it as uncharacterized. Lineage: Eukaryota; Viridiplantae; Streptophyta; Magnoliopsida; Asparagales; Orchidaceae. The transcript has 2 exons. The record is from RefSeq and is a predicted model, not a curated record.